This 310-nucleotide ribosomal RNA is filed under the name uncultured bacterium. RNAcentral's name for it is "bacterial SSU rRNA". It matches the Rfam family "Bacterial small subunit ribosomal RNA", at positions 28 to 334 of the family's 1533-position model. The record is from RNAcentral.
GAUGAACGCUAGCUACAGGCUUAACACAUGCAAGUCGAGGGGCAGCAUGACCUAGCAAUAGGUUGAUGGCGACCGGCGCACGGGUGAGUAACACGUAUCCAACCUGCCGAUGACUCGGGGAUAGCCUUUCGAAAGAAAGAUUAAUACCCGAUGGCAUAGUUCUUCCGCAUGGUAGAACUAUUAAAGAAUUUCGGUCAUCGAUGGGGAUGCGUUCCAUUAGCUUGUUGGCGGGGUAACGGCCCACCAAGGCAUCGAUGGAUAGGGGUUCUGAGAGGAAGGUCCCCCACAUUGGAACUGAGACACGGUCCAA